This is a non-coding RNA of Pelobates cultripes (western spadefoot toad), 852 nucleotides long. The record is from the annotation of a GenBank genome assembly. Lineage: Eukaryota; Metazoa; Chordata; Amphibia; Anura; Pelobatidae.
GGACCGGAUGGUUUCUCAGCCAUGUUUUAUAAAACUUUUGCUGACAUCUUGGCUCCCACAUUACAGAAGGUAUUUUAAAAAGUCUCUAUUACAAAUCCCUUUCCUAAAGCGAUGUUGUUAGCAUCUAUCAUCCGGUUCCCUAAACCAGGUAAAGAUCUUACCAAUACUUCAAACUAUAGACUUUCUUUAAUAAAUCUAUACAUAAAAAUCUAUUCCCAUAUUUUAGCAAACAGAUUGCAACUAGUAAUCUCGUAUCUGAUUUUGGUGGAUCAGUCGGGCUUCAUCAGGGACAGAGGUACAACGGAUAAUAUCCGCAAAAUUCUUAAUCUGAUAAUCAAAAGUAAUCUUACCAAUUCUGAAAUGGUUAUUUUGGCCCUCGAUGCUGAAAAAGCAUUUGGUAGGGUUAACUGGAGAUUUUUUGAUAAAGUAUUAAAUAAAUUUGGAUUUCAGGGUCCAUUUAAAGAUAAAAUUAUCUCACUAUAAACGGAGCCAGUGGCGAAAAUUGUAAAUUCUUUCUUUGAAUCAUCCCCAUUCCAAUAAAUAAUGGCACAAGGCAAGGUUGUCCAUUGGCUCCAUUACUUUACAUCUUAUCUCUUGAGCCACUGGCUAUUAUUAUUAGGGAGAACAAAGAAAUACAUGAUAUUAAAUCAGCUGAUCGUGAGUACAAAAUCUCCCUAUUUGCUGAUGGUUUGCUCUUGUCCCUGGUGAAGCCCUCAAUCUCUAUUCCAGAGGUUAUAAAAAAACUAUUGAGAAAUAUGGAAAUGUUUAAAAUUAUAAAAUAAAGGAAAAAUGGUCCAGGCACUCCUUGGUUCAAAAAUGGGCACUUUAUUAGAAGCACAGCAACGUUUUGAC